RNAcentral lists this ribosomal RNA (250 nucleotides) under uncultured prokaryote. RNAcentral describes it as "partial 16S ribosomal RNA". It matches the Rfam family "Bacterial small subunit ribosomal RNA", at positions 524 to 772 of the family's 1533-position model. The record is from RNAcentral.
UACGGAAGGUCCGGGCGUUAUCCGGAUUUAUUGGGUUUAAAGGGAGCGUAGGCCGCAUGUUAAGCGUGCUGUGAAAUGUCGGUGCUCAACACCGUUCAGUGCGGCGCGAACUGGCUUGCUUGAGUGCGCGGAAGGGAGGCGGAAUUCGUGGUGUAGCGGUGAAAUGCUUAGAUGUCACGAAGAACUCCGAUUGCGAAGGCAGCUUCCCGCAGCGCCACUGACGCUGAAGCUCGAAGGUGCGGGUAUCGAA